RNAcentral lists this ribosomal RNA (497 nucleotides) under uncultured bacterium. RNAcentral describes it as "partial 16S ribosomal RNA". It matches the Rfam family "Bacterial small subunit ribosomal RNA", at positions 28 to 507 of the family's 1533-position model. The record is from RNAcentral.
GAUGAACGCUGGCGGCGUGCCUAAUACAUGCAAGUCGAGCGAACGGACGAGAAGCUUGCUUCUCUGAUGUUAGCGGCGGACGGGUGAGUAACACGUGGAUAACCUACCUAUAAGACUGGGAUAACUUCGGGAAACCGGAGCUAAUACCGGAUAAUAUUUUGAACCGCAUGGUUCAAAAGUGAAAGACGGUCUUGCUGUCACUUAUAGAUGGAUCCGCGCUGCAUUAGCUAGUUGGUAAGGUAACGGCUUACCAAGGCAACGAUGCAUAGCCGACCUGAGAGGGUGUUCGGCCACACUGGACCUGAAACACGGUCCAGACUCCUACGGGAGGCAGCAGUAGGGAAUCUUCCGCAAUGGGCGAAAGCCUGACGGAGCAACGCCGCGUGAGUGAUGAAGGUCUUCGGAUCGUAAAACUCUGUUAUUAGGGAAGAACAUAUGUGUAAGUAACUGUGCACAUCUUGACGGUACCUAAUCAGAAAGCCACGGCUAACUACGUG